UAACACUGACGGAAAUGUUUUUUUCACAAAUAAAUUUCCUGUGAAGAACGGAAUGGACUCAAGCUAACCACACUUGGUGAUGCUAUGAAUUAUACAAAUAAUAAAAUGACAGG
This 113-nucleotide non-coding RNA is filed under the name unclassified sequences. Its description in RNAcentral is "gltS RNA". It matches the Rfam family "gltS RNA". The record is from RNAcentral.